UGCUUCCAAUUGGAUACUUUUUUUCGGUCUGCGAGCGAGGGAGCACGGGAGCUACGGGUGACGGCGAGAAGAGGCGGGGUUGGGGUUGGGGCGGCGGCGGAGUUAGGGUGGCGGCAGCCGGAGGAGGAGGAGAUCGCGGCGGCGAGGUCGGGGAGUGGAAGAGUCGGACCUAGGCACGCUGUUCCACACCCCGAUACCCUCUCUUCCGAGGUAUAGCGCGCUGUUCCACUCCCCCGCGGGUCUAGGCGUCGCCGUGGUGACGCGGGAGUAGGAGGACCGGGAGCUCCAGCCGGUACCUCCAGACCGGGCCGGUUACCUACCUACCCCUACUUUGGGAUCGGGUUGUGGGUGGGUACCUACCUACCCCUACCCCGCUGCUGCCGCUGCUGCCGGAAGAGAGCCACGAACGACUACACCACCUGUAGCUGCAGCCACUGCCCAACGUCGUGCAUCUGUAGUUUCCGACGCCCACACUGCCUCCUCGUGGUACCGCCCGCACGUCUGGUACCGAGCGAUACCUUCCGGGAAGGGAGGGGAGAGAGACAAGCCCGGUACGAGUCCGUCAGAAAAGAGAAGAGAAGGGCGUUUUUUCAGAAAAGAGAAGUACUAGACUUGUACAACCUCCGGUAAUAAAGAGGAGACGGUAUGAAACGACGACGACGGUACAAUUGACUCUCAACCAUCGGUUAUAGUUCACUAAACCUUAAAAACAACUAGACUUGGUAUUAAAUUACUAUAACAAGUUGUACCGAGAACUAUCAAAUUACUAAGUUAGUUUAAAGUAACGUUUCAUAUGACCUGGUCCGAAAGGAAGAAAGAUUACGCCACAAUCAACCGUAAUUCAACACUUUAGGUUUAGGUAUGUAAAUGUCAAGAACAACAAGAUUAAUGUGUUCAUAAAAGUGUAAAAAACAAUUGAUUAGAAGUGUGGCUUGAGGUAGAGUCAUUGGUCUGGACUAUAUCAUCAAUCAAAACCGUAAUCUGUGUUGUUGAAACUGUAACUAUUAAAGGAGUAUAUAAAUCAUCCUGUUAUUUGAACAGAUCGUAAAGUAAUACUCAACGUCCGAGACUUUUAUUUACAUACACGGGGGAUUUACUAAUUUGCACACCAAAAACUUAAUACGUACGACUGUUAGUAAUAAGUUGUUAUAAGGAAAAGUGACUUUAUAUUGGUACAUUACGAAUGCUAAAUUAGACCAAUAGAUGUGUUGAUUUACCCAAUUACAAUACGAAUGAUAGAAAACCGUAUACAUUACGCACCUUCCUUUGGUCACAGAAAACUAUCCCUAAAGAUCUCCAUUGUACGGAGACUGACAUACGUGAUUUAAAUUCUGCGAAACAAAUCUUCUACGAAAGAAGUCAUCAUGAUGUAUAAAAAUACUAAAGGACAUUGAACGACUAUACCGUGGCUAAACGGCGUACCACACGAUGUUGAUGUGAGGUCCCCUUAUAAACAAGUCUUAGAAGUCAGAACAUUAAAAGAUGAACUACUGGACGAGCGGCGCUGGCGGGUUUGGGGUCCGGUGUGAAGGAGAAGGUGAGGCGCAUGAGGACCAACAUCGGGGUCGAGCGGUGUCCGUCCCUAGCCGCCGAGCGACCGCACCGCGCACCGUCCCUCUCUUCCCCCCGUUCUAGCCGCUCCGUCUCAAGAAGGCCUUCCUGCCGCACCACCCGCUGUACCUGCCUAUGGAGUUGAUGGACAGGGAGCUCAUACUGAAGCAGAGCCUGUGGUUAGGAUGAACCCAUAGAAGUUCCAGAUACGAGGUUUAUAUUUAUUCUAAACCAGGCGGCUCGGGAAGUAACCGCAGGAGGACCCUGUGGAGGUACAUCGUGGUUCCCCUUAUAAACAAGUCUUAGAAGUCAGAACAUUAAAAGAGGAACUACUGUUACUGGUACAACACGACCCCCUAAACCCUAAGGUAGGAACGGCAUACCUGAAGGCGACGGUUUAGGUCUAGAAUAGGUUUCUGUACCCUGAGGUUUAAUGUACGGGGUCUUGUAACCGCUGGUUUGUAGUCUCCGGGUUAAUCAAUGAUAUGACUGAGUAACCCCAAAGCGAACCUCGUAAGAACUCUACAAGUCACCACAAGUCUGAACCACACGGUUUAGUGGUCUACUCUAAAUAGUCAGUCAACAGGAUGUCUUUCUCUUUGGCUACAAGGACAUGUUAAAUGGAUACCUCCAGCGAUUACAGGAGAGACCGACGAUACUCAUACUGAAAGCCCUAGUGAGGAACUACAAUCUAUAGAAUGUUAGUAAACUUUCCAACCUCCACUGUGUACUUGCGACCGUUACGUUUUAUCGUCUAUAUUUUAUUGACGUCGAGUCCGGUACAUCAAGAUGUUGUUGGUUCCUUCUUCAGACAAAAAUUCGGCUGGAGCCGGUUCGUAAAUUCGAAUAUACCCACGAGAGAUAAAAAGUCUCAACGCACAUGACUCUUGCGGGUACUAAAUCCCGGUUUUUAGAUCUGUUUCACUGUUUUGACUUUAUGCUCUGAAUGAACUUCGGUCACUAUCGGGUAACUUCCUACGGCUAACACCGAUAGGUUGAUGUUGUUACACGAACGUUGAGUACUCACCGUUUCAUAUUGUACGGAGGAAAUAAUUUCUUCGGGGAAGUUAAAUACAUACGUCUUACGACACUUCCUGAGCACUGUUUCGAUCUAGACAUACGUACAGAAUUACAUAAAAGUAUGAUCGAACUCAUUACAUGAGAACGGGCGGCGUGCCGUGGUGGAAACAUCACAUAAGAACCAGCGAACAACGAGUUAAUCCAAUAAGAUAAAGGAAAAAGAAAAAUAAGUGUUAACAACGGUACUUACACGGCACGUAAACCAGGAUAGUUGUUAAAUUUGGACAGUUAACUCUUUCCUAUACGUGUAGUAGUCACGUGAAGAUAAAUAAAACUCAUAUUUACUCAUCAAUUAAACGAUUAAUUUUAACAAAAGGACACCCAUAUAAGUAGAGUAAUCUUCCAAGAAAAUACGCUGAAA
Molecule: ribosomal RNA, 2992 nt
Filed under: Triticum aestivum (bread wheat)
Lineage: Eukaryota; Viridiplantae; Streptophyta; Magnoliopsida; Poales; Poaceae
Description: partial small subunit ribosomal RNA
Source: RNAcentral